CCUGCACAAAGAUAACAUAACACAAACAUUAGCUUAGCCAUGAAUUUACCAAAUAACAAACAACAAACUAUAAUCUUGAAACUUACAUCAUCGGAUUCUUCCUUCUCUUCCACCUUCUUCUCUUCCUUUGCUUCGGCAGCAGGUGCAGCAGCAGCAGCACCUCCUCCAGUUGCAGCAGAAACAGCAACAGCACCACCACCUGAUGGAACUGAAGCCAACUUUUCUCUUCCACUGGCAAUAAGCUCAGCAAAGUCCUUGCCCUUGACUUCACUUAGGAGCAACUCAAUGUUGCAAUCCUCAGCUUCAACUCCAACUACAAUCAAAAAGCCAAAAAUAAACUCACUUUUUUAAUAUACAAUUCAAUGUUCUAAUUUCUUCAUUCAAAUAUCUUUCCUAAUCGAAGAAACCCGUUUCCUUCAAUGACAGUAAAAAAUACAGAUAAAUCAGACAAAUGCAAGCUUGGCUUUGCUGAUUGAAAAUUCAGUAAAAUCAAAUUCAACUAUAAAAAUGAAAACAUAAACAACAUAAAAAACUAAAUGUCUAUAUCAAACCCAUAUAUGGGGCUGUUUGGGUAAAAACCAGACUUGCAGCUUAUAGCACAAGCACUUAUAAAUAAGAUUGCAUAGCUAUUUUAAUAGCAAAAGAUAAAAUAAUUUCAACUUGUUUUUGUAUUUGCUAUAAAUUGUUUUUGGGACCACCAUUUGGAUUGACUUCUUUUGAGCUUAAGCAAAAUAGCUUAUACAAAUAAUUCAUAAGUUCUCACUUAACAAAAAUUGUAUCUUCAUUUGCAGUUUUUUAAUAUGAAAAAGCUUAAUUAUAUGCAUAAGCUGUUUUUCAUAAGCUCAAAAACAUGGCAAUACUAACGGGCCCUUUAUAAGCUAAAUUGGA
This 888-nucleotide long non-coding RNA is filed under the name Medicago truncatula (barrel medic). RNAcentral describes it as "long non-coding RNA (MTRU_LNC008797)". Lineage: Eukaryota; Viridiplantae; Streptophyta; Magnoliopsida; Fabales; Fabaceae. The record is from RNAcentral.